Molecule: transfer RNA, 81 nt
Organism: Aureobasidium namibiae CBS 147.97
Lineage: Eukaryota; Fungi; Ascomycota; Dothideomycetes; Dothideales; Saccotheciaceae
Rfam family: tRNA
About the family: Transfer RNA (tRNA) molecules are approximately 80 nucleotides in length. Their secondary structure includes four short double-helical elements and three loops (D, anti-codon, and T loops).
Source: Rfam
GGCGCUUUGGCUGAGUGGUUAUAGCGAUAGACUAGAAAUCUAUUUCCUUCGGGAGCGCAGGUUCGAGUCCUGCAGGCGUCG